CUACAUUCUGGAUUCUCUUCUCCCUCUAGAAUUCUGUGUUCUAUGCUCUGAUUCUCUUUAUUUUAGGUCACUUUAAGCUCUGACAUUCUGUGGUCCAUGUUCUCCCAUUUGAUGUCCUGCAAUUUCUUCCAAUUUUAAUAUUCACUGUUUCUACUCUAUGAGGCAGCUAGGUGAUGAAAUGAAGAGAGUUUCUCAUCUGGAAUCAGAAAGGAUUCAAAACCAAAGUGAACCAGCUCCUGCCUACACAGAGUUUACAUUUAAAUGUAAUAGAUAAUAUUUACACAUUUUGAUACACAUAAAAUUCAUUCAAAGCCGAUUCAAAGCAACUUUGGCAACAUUAGCAGUUGGGAGGAGGAUCAAGCAAAGAAAGUUGCUCUUAAGACUAAUAUUGAAGAAAACCUGGGAUUCCAAGAGGGCCUUGGAUAGUGCCUGUAUAUACUUGAUGAUUGAUGAAUUGAUUUGCAUCUCCAAGCCAUCAGGACUACAGUUAAAAGUGAAUGGAUUCCAUACAUUCAUGCUACUGAAUCAUACAAGGGAAAAGUAGACUUUAUUCUUAGCAGAUUUUCAUUAGUUUCUUUUCUCUAAACCACCAAGAGUUACCCCUUUGUAUCCCACCUCUUUCUGCUUCCUCAGGAGUCACCUCAUGUAAAAAAGAUUAAAAAAGAAAAGAGAGAGAAGAUGAACAGGAAAAAAUAGUAAAACCAAUCAAUACAUCAAAAAUAUAAUGUUCUGCACAAUAUUCCACCCCUAUGCAACCUAACUUGCACAAAAGAAUGAUGGAAGUGGGUGAGUGAGGAGAGUAUAUUCACUCAUCUUGCCUUUCAGACCAAGAUUGUUCUUUGGAAUUUUACAACAUUGUUUUGAUUGUUUGAUAGAUACUAUUAUUCCCAUCUCCAUUGUGGCUGUCAUUAUCUAUGAUGUUUUCCUGACUCAGUAUCAGUUCAUGUAAAUCUUUCUAUAUUUCUCUGUAUUCAAGCUUGUCACUUUUUUUAC
Molecule: long non-coding RNA, 993 nt
Filed under: Monodelphis domestica (gray short-tailed opossum)
Lineage: Eukaryota; Metazoa; Chordata; Mammalia; Didelphimorphia; Didelphidae
Description: lncRNA (ENSMODG00000037003.1)
Source: RNAcentral